This 253-nucleotide ribosomal RNA is filed under the name uncultured bacterium. RNAcentral's name for it is "partial 16S ribosomal RNA". It matches the Rfam family "Bacterial small subunit ribosomal RNA", at positions 74 to 334 of the family's 1533-position model. The record is from RNAcentral.
CUGUGCUUGCACGGACAACACGAGUGGCGAACGGGUGAGUAACACGUAGGAACCUUCCCUGAAGAGGGGGACAACCCUGGGAAACUAGGGCUAAUACCCCAUAAUACAGAAAUGUUAAAGAUUAGUUUACUAAUCGCUUCGGGAUGGGCCUGCGGUCUAUCAGCUUGUUGGUGGGGUAAUGGCCCACCAAGGCGGCGACGGAUAGCCGGCCUGAGAGGGUGGUCGGUCACACUGGAACUGAGACACGGUCCAG